Molecule: long non-coding RNA, 1031 nt
Organism: Gordionus sp. m RMFG-2023
Lineage: Eukaryota; Metazoa; Nematomorpha; Gordioida; Chordodea; Parachordodidae
Exons: 3
Source: RefSeq, a predicted model, not a curated record
UAUUAAUUGCAGAGAAAAGUUUCUAAAAAUAAAUUUAAUGAUUACUUGUUGGAAUAGGAAGAUAUAUUUGAAAACGAAAAAUAGGAAAAGAACAGUUUGAAGUAGUAAUUUUAAUAGAUGAAUGGAAUAAAAUGUAUCCAUGCGACGAUGAAGCAAAGUUACGAUCUGGCUGGACUCAUAUCAUUGAGAAAAUCUUAACCAGUCAGAUGAAACUUCCCUUUACCUGAGCUCAUUGUAAACAAUGCACAGCCACAUUAAGAAUGAAUAUGAUUAGUUCAAUGCAUGAUAAACUUUGAAAAAAAGACCAUUUAGUGGUAGAAGAAAGGAAAUCGGCAAUCAAUUAGAAUAAGACUUUGCCUCUAACUGGCGGGUUGAAAAGGCCAACCAAACUAUGGAAUUUGGCAAGGUAGAACCAAAUAUACACUUUAUUCUUUAAAUGUUCUAAGAAAGUGUAAGCAAACUUUUAAAAAUGAUAAUGAUUUUGAUCUGAAAAUGGAUAAUGGUAUUAAUACACUAUUAAUUUUAAAAUAUACCGAACCCUAUAUUUUAAUCAUUAUUAAUAUAUGAUUUGAUAAAUUUUAUAUACAUUAUUGGUUGCCAGAUCAAAUGUGUAUAUACAAUAAAUUUUGUCAGGAUACUGAUGUGUCGAUACUUCAUAUUGAUGCAACAUGCUCCCUGGUUACAAAAAUUAGGCAAUAUAAUAAAAAAUCAGGCUAUUUUUUAUAUGCGGGAGUAAUUAGAAUAAAAUUAAAAUAAGGUCAAAUACCUGUGAUGCAAAAUAUGGAUACAAAUUAGCGCAAAAUCCCCAAAAUAGUUGUAACCGAUCAUUCUUAAGCUUUGCUAGGCUUUGUUAGAUCCUUAGCAAAUUAUAUAGAUCUGAAGAUUAAUAUUGACUUUGUAUUUAAUAUAGUAAUGGGACAAAAAUUAAACAUGCCCAAGAUUUAUAUUAGAGUUGAUUAUGCCCACUGUAUUAAGUUAAUAAGCAGAUGGCAGGGUUUAUAUAAAAACCCAGUUUGUUUAGAGAGUUUUAU